AGGACCAUACAGAAGAUACCCUCUCUUCCAACCCCUGCCGACACUCUGGAAGUACUUCUUGCGUUGUAAAAACAAGUCAAGAUCUUGUACGAUAGAUUCCUUAAGGUCAGGUUCCAAAGCCAGAGUCUCAAAGCUAGCUGGGUGCUUGAAAACAGUAGAUUCCCACACGGAACCAUCAUGGUCAUAAGUGUAAAGAUUAAGGGUCUCGCGCUUGCUCAAGAUUGAUUCUGCAGUGCUAGAAAUAUGAGGCAAGUAACUCUCUAUAACUCUUUCUCUGUCUUUCUUGCUGCAACUCAACUCGAAGAAUCGCCUGUUCCUAAAAUAAUACUUCUUGGCUUCUUUCUCACGAAGAAUCCAUUCCAGGCGCAUACCUUGGAAGUCAUCGAUGACUUUAGCAUCAACAGGAAGGCCUGGUUUGGGUGGAGCAGUGAUAUUGUUACUGUCAUUAUUGCCAAGGAGGAGGCUUUUGGUGGAGGGACCGAUCCUGGUAG
Molecule: unclassified non-coding RNA, 491 nt
Filed under: Hevea brasiliensis (rubber tree)
Lineage: Eukaryota; Viridiplantae; Streptophyta; Magnoliopsida; Malpighiales; Euphorbiaceae
Source: RNAcentral